RNAcentral lists this ribosomal RNA (253 nucleotides) under uncultured bacterium. RNAcentral describes it as "partial 16S ribosomal RNA". It matches the Rfam family "Bacterial small subunit ribosomal RNA", at positions 524 to 776 of the family's 1533-position model. The record is from RNAcentral.
UACGGAGGAUGCGAGCGUUAUCCGGAUUUAUUGGGUUUAAAGGGUGCGUAGGCGGCCUUUUAAGUCAGCGGUGAAAGUCUGUGGCUCAACCAUAGAAUUGCCGUUGAAACUGGGGGGCUUGAGUACAGGAGGGGCAGGCGGAAUUCCUGGUGUAGCGGUGAAAUGCGUAGAUAUCAGGAGGAACACCGGCGGCGAAGGCGGCCUGCUGGACUGAAACUGACGUUGAGGCUCGAAAGCGUGGGGAGCAAACAGG